AACGAACGCUGGCGGCAUGCCUAACACAUGCAAGUCGAACGAGACCUUCGGGUCUAGUGGCGCACGUGUGCGUAACGCGUGGGAACCUGCCCUUAGGUUCGGAAUAACUCCCCGAAAGGGGUGCUAAUACCGGAUAAUGUCUUCGGACCAAAGAUUUAUCGCCUUUGGAUGGGCCCGCGUUGGAUUAGCUAGUUGGUAGGGUAAAAGCCUACCAAGGCGACGAUCCAUAGCUGGUCUGAGAGGAUGAUCAGCCACGCUGGGACUGAGACACGGCCCAGACUCCUACGGGAGGGAGCAGUGGGGAAUAUUGGACAAUGGGCGAAAGCCUGAUCCAGCAGUGCCGCGUGAGUGAUGAAGGCCUUAGGGUUGUAAAGCUCUUUUACCCGGGAUGAUAAUGACAGUACCGGGAGAAUAAGCUCCGGCUAACUCCGUG
This 433-nucleotide ribosomal RNA is filed under the name uncultured bacterium. Its description in RNAcentral is "partial 16S ribosomal RNA". It matches the Rfam family "Bacterial small subunit ribosomal RNA", at positions 29 to 507 of the family's 1533-position model. The record is from RNAcentral.